UAGAGUUGAUAAACCGCCUCUC
This 22-nucleotide non-coding RNA is filed under the name Arabidopsis thaliana (thale cress). The record is from RNAcentral. Lineage: Eukaryota; Viridiplantae; Streptophyta; Magnoliopsida; Brassicales; Brassicaceae.